This 292-nucleotide ribosomal RNA is filed under the name uncultured bacterium. RNAcentral's name for it is "partial 16S ribosomal RNA". It matches the Rfam family "Bacterial small subunit ribosomal RNA", at positions 505 to 796 of the family's 1533-position model. The record is from RNAcentral.
GUGUCAGCCGCCGCGGUAAAACGUAGGACACGAGCGUUAUCCGGAGUUACUGGGCGUAAAGGGCGGGUAGGCGGUGGCAUAAGUCUGGUGUGAAAGCUCCCGGCUCAACCGGGAGAGGACACUGGCGACUGUGGCACUAGAGGCAGAUAGAGGGGUGUAGAAUUCCGGGUGUAGUGGUGAAAUGCGUAGAGAUCCGGAGGAAUACCAGAAGCGAAGGCGGCACCCUGGGUCUGACCUGACGCUGAGCCGCGACAGCAUGGGGAGCGAACGGGAUUAGAUACCCCCGUAGUCC